CCUAUGGGAGGCAGCAGUGAGGAAUAUUGGUCAAUGGGCGGAAGCCUGAACCAGCCAAGUCGCGUGAGGGAAUAAGGCCCUACGGGUCGUAAACCUCUUUUGCCGGGGAGCAAGGGCGGGGACGUGUCCCGGCCCGGAGAGUACCCGGAGAAAAAGCAUCGGCUAACUCCGUGCCAGCAGCCGCGGUAAUACGGAGGAUGCGAGCGGUAUCCGGAAUGACUGGGCGUAAAGGGUGCGUAGGUGGUGUGACAAGUUAGUAGCGCAACUCCGGAGCUAAACUUCGGAACUACUACUAAAACUGUUGGACUUGAGUGCAGGAGGGGCAAUCGGAAUUCCUGGUGUAGCGGGGGAAUGCGUAGAUAUUAGGAGGAACACCAGUGGCGAAGGCGGAUUGCUAGACUGUAACUGACACUGAGGCACGAAAGCGUGGGGAGCAAACAGGAUUAGAUACCCCAGUAGUC
This 461-nucleotide ribosomal RNA is filed under the name uncultured bacterium. RNAcentral describes it as "partial 16S ribosomal RNA". It matches the Rfam family "Bacterial small subunit ribosomal RNA", at positions 338 to 795 of the family's 1533-position model. The record is from RNAcentral.